Molecule: ribosomal RNA, 411 nt
Filed under: bacterium enrichment culture clone ALO1_GLFRUDD03G85LP
Lineage: Bacteria
Description: bacterial SSU rRNA
Rfam family: Bacterial small subunit ribosomal RNA
Source: RNAcentral
GAGUUUGAUCAUGGCUCAGAUUGAACGCUGGCGGCAUGCCUUACACAUGCAAGUCGAACGGCAGCACGGGAGCUUGCUCCUGGUGGCGAGUGGCGAACGGGUGAGUAAUGCAUCGGAACGUAUCCUGGAGUGGGGGAUAACGUAGCGAAAGUUACGCUAAUACCGCAUAUUCUGCGAGCAGGAAAGCGGGGGACCUUCGGGCCUCGCGCUCUUGGAGCGGCCGAUGUCGGAUUAGCUAGUUGGUGAGGUAAAGGCUCACCAAGGCGACGAUCCGUAGCAGGUCUGAGAGGAUGAUCUGCCACACUGGAACUGAGACACGGUCCAGACUCCUACGGGAGGCAGCAGUGGGGAAUUUUGGACAAUGGGGGCAACCCUGAUCCAGCCAUGCCGCGUGAGUGAAGAAGGCCUCGG